This is a non-coding RNA of Meleagris gallopavo (turkey), 3244 nucleotides long. The record is from RefSeq and is a predicted model, not a curated record. Lineage: Eukaryota; Metazoa; Chordata; Aves; Galliformes; Phasianidae.
CUGCACAUAGCAGAGGGGUUGAAACCUCUCUGAUCAUUGUGGUUCUUUUCAACCCAUGUCAUUCUAUGAUUCUUACUAAGUGUAAUAUUUCAAAGUUCUGUUAAUUUGUUCCUUUUACUGCACAAUUCUGUGGUGCUGUUUCAUAUCUUUAGAAUUUUGGUAAUGCAACGUACAUUUCCUACGUCCUUGAAGCCCCAGGGGAUCAUACUUUCUCUCCCAGACAAUCAGCUAACAGCUUAAUUGUCACAAUCAGGAGGAAAUAGCAGAUUUAUUUUAGAUACACACUUCAGAUAACAACAUAUAGACUCCCUUGUGCAGCAGUUAUAAGGAAAGCAGCAAAUGUAAGAAAAUAAAUGCAUCCAAGAACAAUGUUUAAGCAAAAUCUUAGUAAGGUAGGUGGAACAGUUGACAACAAGCUCUUAGAGCUGAUGGAAUAGGCUGGAAGGACUGGGUCUUCCUUCUGUUACCCUUGUGAAGGUAAUGGAACUGAAUAUAUAUGUCCAUGCUUGCACUGUAGCAGCUUUUGCUUUUAUCCAACGCAUCAGUAAAAUGCAUGAUACAUUCAAAACAAAGUUCAACACUGGCCAAAAGAUGUAAAAUUUUAUUGGCCAAAAGGAAAGUACCCCUUGGUGGACUGUAUUAAGAAUUCCGAAGGUAUUCUGUUUUCUUGUAGUAAGAAACAUGUCAGAAAACUGUUUCUGAUUCAGGUGGCUUUUGUUGUGUUGUUCAAGUAAGGAGCUCCUGGCAAUGUAUGCUUACAGUUUCUGUUAGCAAAGAUGGUUUCGAAGAAAACAGGCAAAAGGAAAAUUGUCAAAUAACAAACUGGAAUUCCACAAAAACUCUGCAGUGGCUGUAGCAGUACAAACAGGAAAUGUUGGGGGCUGUGAUUUAAGUUUCAUAUCUGAGGACAGAAAAAUGUAAGAUCAAGUUAAUGCUGAGAAACGAAUGCCAAAUUUGCAUUGUUUGAUGUUUGCUUAUUAAGCAAAGUCAGUUGUUUCAAUUUUUAUAAAUCAAAUCAUUCUAGAAAGAAUGAAAAUGGAGCCUUACGAAUGCAAAUUUAUUAAUUAAUUUUUUGCUCAAUUGUCAGAACUAAGCAUGAACUUCCUUCAGUUGUCUCAGUCCCUGACAAUAUUGCUACUGAUACCAGUUAUUUCUUUAACUCAAAGUCAAUAUUUGAGGUGGUUUCCUUUUUUUAGGGGGGAAGAGGGAAAGAGGAGAGGCCAAGAAUUUUUGUUUUACUACAAAUCCUUUUUUUUUUUUUUAAACAAGGAUGAAAACCUAGAGUUUGCAUUCAGUGAAAAGAACACUGCAAUUUUAUUUGAUUCUACACCAACUAGCUAUAUUCUGCAACUUUAUAGUUUUGUCACCAGAAUUUUAGUCACCAGUAAUUCAUAUAUGUACAUUAGUUUAUUGCUGAAAAUGGAUUCUUGGAUGACAAAAUGAUAUGAAGAAAUGAGCAUUCAUUCAGUCCAAAUACAUAAGCUUCGGAAGAGACAGGAAGAUCUGCAUGCAUUUCUGGCUCAUGCAGUCAAAAUUCAUGAUAGGAAACAGAUGCUAAAGAGAAACCAGCACUUGCCAGAUUACAUGUGCUUUUUAAAAACUUGGUAUUUUAUUGCAUUUAUUUCACAUACUGUACUCAUUACCAAUCUUGUGAAGAAAUUCAGCCCUUUGUAAAUAUUCAGUGAAAAAGAUGAAGAGUAUGGAGGGAAUCUGUACUAGUGAAACAGUGAUGCAAAGAUUGGGUAUGUGGAAAGAAAAGAAUCUAUUUUUAAAGAACAGAAUUACUGGUGGAUGAUGAAUUCAGUGAAAGUCAGCUAGAACCUUUGUACACCAAGAAUUGAACAUCAGUUCCAUAACUAGAGAAUAUUUUACUUAAAAGGUUGUAUGGAAGAGGCACUCCAGUAACAUGGUGUUACUUGUCCAGCAGGAGUCACCACUAACAGUACUGAUCGACAGAUUUUGUAUUUCAUGCAUAUUAGAAAGAACAUUAGAAAAACAGCUUUGUGAUGCAGGAGUCAUUACAUCAGUAGUAAGAUGAAUGUACUCUACAGUGUAGUCAUCUUUUGGACUAGCUUAGAUAUAGCUAAAUACUUCUGUUAGCCUUUAUACAGUUUCAGAUGUUCUUUGAUCAAUGUGUGAUAUCAAUUACCUCCCAUAUCAUCCCUUCCUGUUUUCUUCACUAUUAAAAAUCCUUCUAAAUUUCCCUUCUAAAUGAGUGGGUUUCAUCCUUGAAGGCAGCUUCUGCAACAGAGUUCAAGACAACUUUCAGUAAGUCACAAGGUAAGGUAUAGGAUGUUUAGAUGCCAGCACUGUGUUGUCUUUCUCGUUUCCCCUGUGUAUCACAGGCUGAUGUCUGUGCGUUCUUCAGCUCAGUAGAGCUGCUGUUUAUUUUCUAAUGGGCAAUGAGAGAAAGUAAGCCAUGAGGAUAAGAGUAACAGAGUCUGCUGAAUGAGUUUCCUUCAAUGUCUCCCUCUGAAUUUGCUAACCCUUAUGGCUGGAGGCUGUCCAGCUUUUUGUCUGCAGCACUUCUGUACCCGCAGGAUACUCAGAACAACUGAAUCCUCGGCUAGUAUCAUUCCAAUAUCACCCUCAGUAACUGCCCUUCACUCUCUUAUUCUCCAUGUUCCUAGUAUUGUUGCUGUUACCAGCAGGUCAACUAACAUCAGAAAUCUGAAAGGUAAGGGAGGUGGUGUAAGGGUCCACAAGGCAGGGGAAGGAGAAGCAGCCGUCCUUCUAAGGGAAGGAUGUUAGUAUCAGCAAGGUUUUCUGACGUAAAAGGUUCCAGCAGAAGGACAUAUGUGGAAUAACAAAGCUCAGCAAAAGCCAACUAACUCAAGAAGGUGACAGCAAGGAAUUCUGCGUCUAAGAAAUGCUGCAAUCAGGAUUCAGCUUUUAUAGGCUCUCAGAAAAGGAGAGAUGCUCUUGUAUCCACGUUGGGCUGAGGAUGACCUAGACUGAAAUUCCCAAAUUGUAACACGCGCUGAAGCAAAGCUCUGCGUAGAUAAUUCCUGAGUAGCACACUGUCCUGGCUGAUACUGAAGGCUGUUGAUACAGCAACUUCUGCUACUGCUACCUACAGUGGCUGCAGUGGGUAGUGAGCAAGAUGGAUUUGGGAACCACCGAUCUGGAUGUGUUUACUUCAACUGCUGACUGAGGUAAUGUGUUCAACUUCAAUUUAGUUGAAGAAGAACAAGAGAAUACUAAUGAGCAUGAAGAAUAUAUAGAAGUUAAUGAAAGCAACAUA